Molecule: long non-coding RNA, 407 nt
Organism: Cervus elaphus (red deer)
Lineage: Eukaryota; Metazoa; Chordata; Mammalia; Artiodactyla; Cervidae
Exons: 3
Source: RefSeq, a predicted model, not a curated record
GAUUUCUGGAGGUUUGUGAUGGAAAAUAGAACAUUGAGGGAGUCUUUACCAUGUUCUUGGAGAUAAACAGGCGCCAGAGCAUGUCCUUGGAGUUGUUUUUCCAGUAGUGGUGAUGGAUUUACACAGGUUCAUCCACAGUCUUUAGCUCAGGCUCUAUUGUGGACACCAUCCGACACUCGUUGGAUGCCAGACCAACCAGUGUUUUGGUUUUGCCUUGAAGCUGGGUAAAAUGAACUGUUCCACCUGUAGACUUCACUCAGCUCAUCCCAGGACUAGGAGGCCAAAACUUCCAAGGAAAACUUCCAAGUGUGUUUUAAAAAGAAAGCCCGGAAGUUACAACCCCAUUCAAGUGGGUGAGAGAUCUUUUUAAUGUACUCUAGGUAAUUGUGUACUUCGGCUGUUCCCUG